RNAcentral lists this ribosomal RNA (784 nucleotides) under Entoloma icarus. RNAcentral describes it as "partial large subunit ribosomal RNA". It matches the Rfam family "Eukaryotic large subunit ribosomal RNA", at positions 75 to 841 of the family's 3401-position model. Lineage: Eukaryota; Fungi; Basidiomycota; Agaricomycetes; Agaricales; Entolomataceae. The record is from RNAcentral.
UUCCCCUAGUAACUGCGAGUGAAGCGGGAAAAGCUCAAAUUUAAAAUCUGGUAGUCUUUGACUAUCCGAGUUGUAACCUAGAGAAGCGUUAUCCGCGUUGGACCGUGUAUAAGUCUCCUGGAAUGGAGCGUCAUAGAGGGUGAGAAUCCCGUCUUUGACACGGACUACCAGGGCUUUGUGAUGCGCUCUCGAAGAGUCGAGUUGUUUGGGAAUGCAGCUCUAAAUGGGUGGUAAGUUCCAUCUAAAGCUAAAUAUUGGCGAGAGACCGAUAGCGAACAAGUACCGUGAGGGAAAGAUGAAAAGAACUUUGGAAAGAGAGUUAAACAGUACGUGAAAUUGUUGAAAGGGAAACGCUUAAAGUCAGUCGCAUUGACUUGGGAUCAACCUUGCUUCUGCUUGGUUUACUUCCUUGUUGAUGGGUCAGCAUCAAUUUUGACCANNNNAAAAAGUUCGAGGGAAUGUGGCAUCUCAGGAUGUGUUAUAGCCUUUGUUCGCAUGCAUUGGUUGGGAUUGAGGAACUCAGCACGCCGUAAGGCCGGGUUUUUAACCACGUUCGUGCUUAGGAUGCUGGCAUAAUGGCUUUAAUCGACCCGUCUUGAAACACGGACCAAGGAGUCUAACAUACCUGCGAGUGUUUGGGUGGAAAACCCGAGCGCGUAAUGAAAGUGAAAGUUGGGGAUCUCUGUCGUGGGGAGCACCGACGCCCGGACCAGACCUUCUGUGACGGAUCCGCGGUAGAGCAUGUAUGUUGGGGACCCGAAAGAUGGUGGGAACUAUGCCUGAA